Molecule: long non-coding RNA, 387 nt
Organism: Capsicum annuum
Lineage: Eukaryota; Viridiplantae; Streptophyta; Magnoliopsida; Solanales; Solanaceae
Exons: 2
Source: RefSeq, a predicted model, not a curated record
CCAUAUACAAUUCAAAUUGAAUUGGGAAAAAUAAUAUAUUAUAUAUUGACAAAAAAGGCUUUUGUCAUCAAAGGAUUAAGAAGGCAAAGGUUAGGAGCAACUAAGGCAGUAACUAAUCUGCCAAUCACGCUGAAAAGGAAAAAAAAUCAAUUGUUCCUUCAGUUAAAAGAAAAGAAAGGUUUAAUGUUGAUUGGAAAAUUCUUUCAGGUUUAAGAGAAUGUAGGUGACGGUGAGGAUCUCGUUGGCUAGAGGAUUCAGUAGCAUAUUCCUGGUGAGCCCCGCAUUUGUUCGUGUGGGCUAUAGUUUAUUUAUUCGUUAUGUUUCUUUUUCUUGAAAACUCUUAGUUUGAUCCAUAGUCAUGUCUUUAGAGUUUUGAGUAUUCUUUCA